This 989-nucleotide long non-coding RNA is filed under the name Homo sapiens (human). RNAcentral's name for it is "HSALNT0366752". Lineage: Eukaryota; Metazoa; Chordata; Mammalia; Primates; Hominidae. The record is from RNAcentral.
ACCUUGGAUAAUUUACUUGAUUUCUCCCUUUCUAGUUCUUUUUCUGUAAAAUGAGGAAGAGAAUGGUAAAGUCUCCUUUGCAUUACUGUGAGGAUUGCCAAAGGUCUGGAUCACAGUUGGUUCUCCCGUGGGAAUCAUUGCCAUCACCGUCAUUGCCUUGUGUACGGCCUUCACGCGUUUCGCCAGCUUCUGUGUCAUUGGUGACAUCAUAAAAUCAGGGAAAGGGAAAUCUGUAAACACUGGCCGUUGAAGAAUACGGUUUCUGAGAAUUUCCACUCUGAAUUCACAUUCCGUUCAGUGUUAUCGCCACCCUGUGGAUUUCUUGGGUAAUGAAACUCAGACCGGGAAAUGAAAACGGGGAUUUUCAGUAAAUCGGUUCCAGUAAAUCUCUGCUGCUCUUGUGGGCGCCCUCUUUUGAGCACCGGAGGAAUGAGCACCGUUCUUCAUUCUUUUGGUUUUGUAAAGUUGUAGAGCUGCGUUCAUAACUACCUCGCUGGCUUUGAGCACAACCCAGGAAGAAGUUUGAAACCAAGAAAAUGGUGGUUGGGAAGACCAGGAUGCGCAAUGGCAAGUUGAGGGCAAGCGGGGUACGUGUCCUGAAUUUAUAGAAUCUUUUGACACAAAGCAAGAGAGCCACAGUCAAGACUCAAGUCAAAAGAAAUUUAGACCCCAUCUGGGCAAACAGGCCUCUAAGCAACAAUCUAAGAUUUCCACCUAUUGUUCUGGCAUUCCUUGUAUAAAUGAUUAUGACUGCAGAGAUCUUAGGAAGUGCUGUGGUACCUUUAGAUGUGGCCUGAGGUGCAUACAUCCUCUUAUGAUUGGCCCUGUAUUUUUCAAUUCACCUCCACAAUCCAAGGCAUAAAUAUUGGAUGGAGAAAUGGAUUCAGAUGGAGGCAUCAUUGAGCUUAUUCUUGACUCAUCUCAGUCCAAACAUUACUCUGUCAAUCGUUGUUCUUAAAAUCUGCAUAUUAAAAGCUCAGCAUCAACUA